Molecule: unclassified non-coding RNA, 1616 nt
Filed under: Hevea brasiliensis (rubber tree)
Lineage: Eukaryota; Viridiplantae; Streptophyta; Magnoliopsida; Malpighiales; Euphorbiaceae
Source: RNAcentral
UGUUGUGUUGGUGUUGAUAGAUCUGAAUUUAAAAAGAAAAAUAAAUGAUGGCAUUAGCAGAAGAACAAGUGUCAAAUCAUCAAACACAGCUAAAGGCCGUUAUCAAAACCAUAUAAUCACAAAUUUGACGACAUACAGCCAUCCUUCUUAAAAUACAUACAACCCAUUCAAUCCACGUACAUUUGGUGUACAUCAUAUGCACAAAAGUACAGGCACACAAAUACACUAAAAAAAAAUUCUAUUGUUCGCUGCAAAAGACCAUGACUCAUGAUAGAAAAUUCAAGUAUCUAAAGAAAUCAACAUAAUUUUACAUCAGUUAUUCCCCCAUUGUCAUUUUAAAAUUUAAUAUAUGUUCAAGCCCGAUGAAACUGAAACUUAAGCAGUUAAAAUGAAUGCAAUUACAAGAAAAGUAUAUGGAUGAAGACAUGAAAAAUGUAUAAAGAUAAGUUCAAUACGUAGUCUGUCCACCUCCAUUGAAUACAAAGUAGGCUCAACUAUUCUGAUAUCAGGCCCCAUUGGCUAUCAAAUACAAAUGACUCCACAUGGCUGCAGACUUGCCACAACCGUCAAUGGUAAGAGUCCCUUGUUUGUCACAAGAGAAUCUUCCAACUAGAUGUCAAACCCUCUCACUUGAGUGUGUGUUAUGUGAUGCCUUUAAUUUUAUUCUCAAACAUGUUUGAUCCAGGAAAUAAUGUAGUCAAAAGAAAUGAUGCGAAUAAAAUCUUAGAUUCACAUUCAAUUAAAACAACAUGAUCACUUCCAAUGAACUCCAGUUUGGGAUUACGGUUUAGUUGUUGUUGUGAAUCACUUGCAAUGAAGAAAUACCACUUGACAAAAUCAGUAAUCAAUUUAUGGUUUUCGAAGUCUCACCAAGUGCCUGGCUGCCAAAUGCUUUUGUAGGGCUUUGACAUCAGCUUGAAAACCAGAAGACGCCAUUACACUUUUGUCAGCUCUGAGAGCAAGAAGAUCACCAAAAUACUGAGUUAAAUUUGAUUAUGCCUUCAAGUAUAACUAGUAUUUCACAAUCAAAUGACGUCAACUGCAAUGCUCAACAUAUAUGCCAAAUUUAAACCAAUUCAUUUCCAUGUUAUUCAUCUGCCAUAUACUUUACCUUAGCAAGCGUACAAAUAUUUGAAAAGGGUGAAAAAAACCUAAAAAUAGCCUGCUGUGCACCCAAUUUAUAGCCAAUUGGCGCACGACAUUCAUCAAUCCGUUUCAAUGAGUAAAGCAUUUUCAGAAUUAGUAGAAACCAACAGAAGCCCUAAGAACUCCGUUCAAAACCUAAAAUACCCGAAAACCACAUUAGCUCCCACAAUUCUCACAAGAUACCAUUACAACCCAACGACAAUAACAAGUAGCCACACUUAGCCGUUCAAUCUACACACAGAAAACGAAAAUCGAGAAUUGAAAAACACGCACAGUUUACAGAUUUUGGAGUACUCCCGGGUGAGAAUACUGUAGCCAGUGGACAUUCUAGUGUCAGCGGCGAUGACGCAGUAAUCGGCGCCAGCAAUCGCAACACAAGACCCUCCAUUGUUAUCGUAUGGAGACCAGUUAGCUUGUUGCUUAGUCAUGUUUUAUGAAGCAAAAUGGAGAUUAAAAUAGAUUAUGAUAAA